RNAcentral lists this ribosomal RNA (251 nucleotides) under uncultured bacterium. RNAcentral describes it as "partial 16S ribosomal RNA". It matches the Rfam family "Bacterial small subunit ribosomal RNA", at positions 525 to 775 of the family's 1533-position model. The record is from RNAcentral.
ACGUAGGGGGCGAGCGUUGUCCGGAAUGACUGGGCGUAAAGGGCGUGUAGGCGGCCGAUUAAGUAUGGAGUGAAAGUCCUGCUUUCAAGGUGGGAAUUGCUUUGUAGACUGGUUGGCUUGAGUGCGGAAGAGGUAAGUGGAAUUCCCAGUGUAGCGGUGAAAUGCGUAGAGAUUGGGAGGAACACCAGUGGCGAAGGCGACUUACUGGGCCGUAACUGACGCUGAGGCGCGAAAGCGUGGGGAGCGAACAG